This is a long non-coding RNA of Monodelphis domestica (gray short-tailed opossum), 3312 nucleotides long. RefSeq lists it as uncharacterized. NCBI's taxonomy places the organism in Eukaryota, Metazoa, Chordata, Mammalia, Didelphimorphia, Didelphidae. The record is from RefSeq and is a predicted model, not a curated record.
AGGGUCUCCCUAAUUCCAAGUUAUCUUGUUGAUUGAAGGCUUUGAAAUAAAGUCAAUUCAGAAAACAAAAUUAUCUUCUAAGGGUAGAUAUUAACAGUACUGCUGAUAAGUCUUUUCUGGGCAAAACCAAAUAUCUCUUCAGCUCAUAGUAUAGGUGAAAGGCAAUGGCCAGACAGGCGAUGAAGCCACCUUAAGGCAGAAAGAGUCAAGAAUGAAGUCCCAGGCAGCUGGAGCCUCCUAACUGCUUCCUUCAAGAUUCCAUUGGAACAGUCUCCCCUCCCCCAAUGAUUUGUGUUCCAAAAGUUCUGAGCUCCUUUGCUUUGUAGAUUCAUUUUUUUCUUUGCCUAAAUAUCUUCAUUCACAUUUGGUUCAAAUUGGUAAACAUUAAUACUAUACAAUAAAGAGGGAAAGAAAGAAGCAUUUAUUGUCUAUCAUGUAUCAGACACUGUGUUGAGUUAUAUUUUACAAAUAUUAUCUUUUGAGAACUGUCCAGUGGUCUCUCUGAGGGUCCAUGGUCUACUCUGUCCAGGUGUGAUGAUUUUGGUCAAAUAAUGAAGUGAGAAGCUCUGCGUGCUCAAUCCCACAUGUUAAGUAUCACAUAGUGUUCUGCUAUGGCACAGAGGUUCAUUUAUUUUAUAGGUUCAGUGAGUACAUGCUUUUCUGGUACACAAUCAAUUUUCUACAUACAUGUUUUCAUAGAACUUAACAACAGACGCAUAACUUAAGGAGAUAGUCAAAGAAACAUUGUUGCUAUAGAUGAAUGACAUAAACAGGGUGAUCUGGAGGUUGGUUCUCCCCGACCAAAGAAGAAUCAUUGUUACUAUUGGUCAACUUUCAUAGUCAAUCAUAAUUACUUAGGAGAUGGAUAACAAAACAUUCCAUAGCUACGUACAGGGUUAGAAGGCAAUUUUAGACAGACCAGAUUUGCAGUUUUCCUCAAUUUACAAGUUCCAUUUUUCUUGUGUUGCUUUAAAGCACCUGCCAACGUUGCCUGGUUUCUGUCUGCAGUGGAGUGUGUCUUGAAGGCAAUUGAUGUUCUUGGCUUGCCUGGCUUAUAAUGGGAGUGAAUGUAACUCUGUGGAGAGGGAAAGGAGGGGGGGUAACGGGUAAUGAACUUUAGGUUUUAAUUCUGUAAAUAUAAUCUUUUAGGAUAAUAAUGUGGGAGGAUUAAGGUGGGAUAUAUGUUUAUUCUACAAGUCUUUGCUCUUGUAUCAUUUCUUUUGUAUUAGAGAACAAUAAUCAUCCAUUAGUGAGGGAAGUUAAAGAGAGAUAAGUCACAGAGGGGGAUCAGUAGGGGUAUCAUUUUCUGGGGGCUGUCUUACAGCCCCCAUUUCCCAAACUGUGACUUGGUCAGCCAGUGGGGGUUUGAUGGCUCCCAACAAUUAUCUCAUUUUUAUAAAACAUAAUGGAAGAGAUACAGAGUUCAAAUAAGAUAUCAUUUUUGUCCUCGUAUAAUUUGCAAUCUAGUAGGGGGCAUGGAAGACACAAAAUUACUAUAUUACAGAAUAGAUCAAAUGUACUAGAAGUUUGAUCAAAAUGACAACUAUAAUUUUCCUAAGAUCCCAGGGAAAAGAUUAUUAUCAAUAGGGAAGACAAGGCUUAUGAAUAAGUAGGAAUUCAACAGUCAAAAAAAGGAAGAAUGUUCCAAGAAUACUAUGUCUGAUGAUUUGAUAGUCUGAGUGCUUGCAAGAGAUCUGAGACAUCGCUAUAAAAAAAGAGCUCACUUUCUUCAUCAACUCCAACCUCCAAUAUAGUUGGCAUCAACUACCACCCAUCAACAGCUAAGUCCAAGAACCCAAGCAUGGCAAAAUAUCCCAAAAUGCUGCUCUUAUUUCUAGCACAGGUGCAAUAUUGAGUCAUCAUGUGAGGAACAACUCCUGUGAAGAAAGUGAUGGGCUCAUCCUCAUUAAAGCCUAGCCAACUGCUUUGUAUGGGAAAGGAAAGGCAACAUCCUAGGAGAGAGUCAGAAUAAGGUUCCCUUCCUGUGGCUCAGAUACAAUACGGGAAAUAAGAAGAGAUCAACCUAGGAAAGCAGGAAGAAUCACCAAUCUCCAACCUAGGAAUUAAAGAGCAAAGAAUGAAGAGGGAAACAAGGCUCUAGCCUGAACAGAUGAUGGGAGCAGGAGGACAUGUAUGAAACAGAUGACUUUGAGACUACAAUGAAAGGAAACCAGCCAGUGAGAACCCAGACCUAGAUAGCUUGUAUAUCAUGCAAUACCCCAGUUUGGAGUUUGGUGAAUCUACUUCUGGACAUUCAUAAAAAAGGACCCUGCUCUCCAUUUUGAAACUUGUGCCCAAUAACUACAACUUUCCAACUCAUGGAAGCAUCACACUUUCUCAGAAGAAGCAGUUUCCCUGUGUAUCAGUUUCCUGAAGAUUAGAUCCAAGUCUCUCGGUAACCGAGGAUGACGAUUGUCUUUGUGCAUUUUUGUGCACAAAGACACCUGUGCACGAAGAUGUAAGUGGAAAAGUCGAUGCACAGAGACAGUCCCACUCUCUCGGCGUUGGAAGCCUGGGUCCAUUGGCACGAAAAAUCGUUACACCUGGAGACUUCCUCAGCUGCAUUGGAUGGCCGUGUUGUCUUUUGUGCUCCAACACACCCUAAGCACUCCACAGUGCUUUGCUGCAUCGCCAUCUCAGCCGUUGAACCUUCUUGCUGGUUUCUUCCGCCUGUUCUGCCGAAACAGUCUUCACAUGCUGGGUGAGCAAAGCCCUGGUUCACCAGGGGUCGACGUUGACCAGAUGGCUACCCUCACAAGGUUUAGCUGGCCUGUCGAAGCUGUUGCCCAGGGUGUGGCCGCUGCAGCAUGCUAGCAGCUACUAGGAGCCACAAGUGAGAGCUGGAUGUCAGGUGAGGGUCAGAGGCUGGAGAGCUGCCCCAGGAGGGCACGACAAGCCCUCCAUACCAAAGAUAUUACUCCUCCCAGACCACCCCAUACACCCCCCAUCUUCCCUAGCACCAAACAUAGCACACAAGUACAUUGUCCAAAUCAAAUGUAAUGGACUUCUCUGCUAGCAGCAAUGCAAUGAUCCAGGACACUUCUGAGGGACUUAUGAGAAAGAAUGCUAUCCACAUCAAAAAGAACUGUGGGAGUAGAAACACAGAAGAAAAACAACUGCUUGAUCACAUGGGUUGAUGGGGAUAUGACUGGAGAUGUCAACUCUAAGCGAUCACCCUAGUGUAAAUAUCAAUAAUAUGGAAAUAGGUCUUGAUCAAUGACACAUGUAAAACCCAGUGGAACUACUUGUUGGCUAUGAGAGGGGGGAAGAAGGGAGGGAAAGAACAUGAAUCAUGUAACCAUGGAAAAUAUU